AAUGACUCUCGGCAACGGAUAUCUCGGCUCUCGCAUCGAUGAAGAACGUAGCGAAAUGCGAUACUUGGUGUGAAUUGCAGAAUCCCGUGAACCAUCGAGUCUUUGAACGCAAGUUGCGCCCGAAGCCGUUAGGCCGAGGGCACGUCUGGCUGGGUGUCACACAACG
RNAcentral lists this ribosomal RNA (166 nucleotides) under Gilbertiodendron diphyllum. Its description in RNAcentral is "5.8S ribosomal RNA". It matches the Rfam family "5.8S ribosomal RNA". Rfam says of the family: 5.8S ribosomal RNA (5.8S rRNA) is a component of the large subunit of the eukaryotic ribosome. It is transcribed by RNA polymerase I as part of the 45S precursor that also contains 18S and 28S rRNA. Functionally, it is thought that 5.8S rRNA may be involved in ribosome translocation. RNAcentral also lists the same sequence under 1 other name. Lineage: Eukaryota; Viridiplantae; Streptophyta; Magnoliopsida; Fabales; Fabaceae. The record is from RNAcentral.